GGAAGGAUCAUUAACACUCUUGUGUUACAACAACACCUAAUUGGUUCAACUAAACCCCCCUGUCUAUUUCCGGACACUGCGGCCAGUCUGGCUUGUGUGGAGACACCAAGUUUCAGUCGGAAGCGUCAAUCACCGCGUCCUCAAAAAACGCCUGACGUUUUACAGCCCUCUGUUUGUUGACAACCCCCAUUUUUAACACCCCCUAUUCGCAAACACGACCCCUCGGGGUUAAGCUUUUGUCUCCAAGUUGAAAAACAAAAAAAAUUAUAGGACAACUUUUGGCAGUGGAUAUCUUGGCUCUUGCAUCGAUGAAGAACGCAGCAAAUUGCGAUAAUUAAUGUGAAUCGCAGAAUCCUGUGAAUCAUCAAAACUUUGAACGCACAUUGCAGUCCAGCCCUCGGGUUGGACUAUGCCUGUUUGAGAAUUGGUACUAUCUCUCAACUCCUUGGAGUUGGAUGCUGAGGCUGAUGGUCUGCUUAGGCGCAUUCGUGUGCUUUUUGCCGCCGUCUCCCUUUAAUAGUUCCAAGUCGAAUCCCUUGCGCAUACCAAACGCAUUGGACUUCCUCAGUGCCUAUAUUACAAUAUAAGCACUGGUAACGGGAAGCUAAUCCGAUGCGGCCCAAGACGAGGCGACACCAUACUAUGGCUGAUGAAAGUCUUCGGACUUGCCAUCGCACCAUUAAUCUCAAAUCAGGCAAGAGUACCCGCUGAACUUAAGCAUAUUACUAAGCGGAGGAAAAGAAACUAACUAGGAUUCCCUAAGUAACAGCGAGUGAACAGGGAAAAGCUCAAAGUUAAAAUCGGCGAGGGUUUACCCGAGUCGAGUUGUACUUUGUAGAGAUGUCUCUGGAAGGCGCCAGGUAUAAGUUUGUCUCAGAAUGCGGCAUCAAAGAGGGUGAAAAUCCCGUAUUUGACCUGGAAAGUCCUUUCAACACGGGGCGUCAUCGAAGAGUCAGGCUGUUUGGGAUUGCAGCCCAAAGUGGGUGGUAAGGUUCAUCUAAAGCUAAAUAUUUGCAAGAGACCGAUAAUGAACAAGUACCGUGAGGGAAAGAUGAAAAGAACUUUGAAAAGAGAGUGAUAAUAGUCCUUGAAACUGCCAAAGGGACAAGCGUUAGGAACUGUUGUUGCGCUCAGGAUCUGUUUCUCAAGUAACACUGCCGUCGGUGGCCGAGUCGCAAGACCCCUGCCGGAGGAUUUGAUGUUGCUUGAGGGGCGCCGGAUCCUGGGAUGCCGGUCAACCACACUUUCUGUCCUCCUCUAAGGCUUAGGAUGUUUUCCUUUGCUGGAAGGGAGUGGGCUUGAGUGCGACCUGAUCCUACCGGGACCAGGCUGGCGGCGUAGAACGGUUUUGGGUAGGUGUACACACCGACGAAAACUGCUUGCAGGGUUCGCUGGCGAUGUGUGCUUGCUCGAGGUCGCUCCGUUGCUAGAGGUUGACUACCUCAUGGUUUCUAACGUCCCGUCUUGAAACACGGACCAAGGAGUCUAGCAUAUAUGCGAGUAUUCGGGUGGCAAACCCAUGAAUGCGCAAUGAACGUGAAGGAGCUCUCGGGGCUCUGAGGUAGGAAUCGUCGGUUCGCCGGCGAGGCACUAUCGACCGAUCUGGAUGUUUUUUGAAGGAUUCGAGUUAGAGCAUAUCUGCUAGGACCCGAAAGACGGUGAACUAUGCCUGUAUAGGGUAAAGCCAGAGGAAACUCUGGUGGAAGCUCGUAGCGAUACUGACGUGCAAAUCGUUCGUCAAAUAUGGGUAUAGGGGCGAAAGACUAAUCGAACCGUCUAGUAGCUGGUUCCCUC
Molecule: unclassified non-coding RNA, 1794 nt
Filed under: uncultured fungus
Lineage: Eukaryota; Fungi
Description: sequence contains 18S rRNA gene, ITS1, 5.8S rRNA gene, ITS2, 28S rRNA gene
Rfam family: Eukaryotic large subunit ribosomal RNA (bases 681-1794)
Source: RNAcentral